Molecule: non-coding RNA, 71 nt
Organism: Podarcis lilfordi (Lilford's wall lizard)
Lineage: Eukaryota; Metazoa; Chordata; Lepidosauria; Squamata; Lacertidae
Source: the annotation of a GenBank genome assembly
GCUUGUGACUCAGUCGGUAGAGCAUGAGACUCUUAAUCUCAGAGUUGUGGGUUCAAGCCCCACGUUAGGCA